Molecule: non-coding RNA, 200 nt
Filed under: Hespellia stercorisuis
Lineage: Bacteria; Bacillati; Bacillota; Clostridia; Lachnospirales; Lachnospiraceae
Also listed under: 1 other name
Source: RNAcentral
ACAAAUACAUACAUCAAAGGUGUCAGAGGACAGUCCAGGCUGUCGGCUCUGAUGAAAAGGGAAACAGGUGAAAAUCCUGUACGAACUCGUCACUGUGAUAAGGGAGUUCCGGGCAGCGGGCCACUGAAUUUUAAUUUGGGAAGGCCGCCAUGGAAUGAAGAUCUUUCAGCCAGGAGACCUGCCUGAGAUAUGCGACAUAC